GAUGAACGCUGGCGGCGUGCCUAAUACAUGCAAGUCGAGCGAACAGACGAGGAGCUUGCUUCUCUGACGUUAGCGGCGGACGGGUGAGUAACACGUGGAUAACCUACCUAUAAGACUGGGAUAACUUCGGGAAACCGGAGCUAAUACCGGAUAAUAUAUUGAACCGCAUGGUUCAAUAGUGAAAGACGGUUUUGCUGUCACUUAUAGAUGGAUCCGCGCCGCAUUAGCUAGUUGGUAAGGUAACGGCUUACCAAGGCAACGAUGCGUAGCCGACCUGAGAGGGUGAUCGGCCACACUGGAACUGAGACACGGUCCAGACUCCUACGGGAGGCAGCAGUAGGGAAUCUUCCGCAAAGGGCGAAAGCUUGACGGAGCAACGCCGCGUGAGUGAUGAAGGUCUUCGGAUCGUAAAACUCUGUUAUUAGGGAAGAACAAAUGUGUAAGUAACUAUGCACGUCUUGACGGUACCUAAUCAGAAAGCCACGGCUAACUACGUG
This 497-nucleotide ribosomal RNA is filed under the name uncultured bacterium. Its description in RNAcentral is "partial 16S ribosomal RNA". It matches the Rfam family "Bacterial small subunit ribosomal RNA", at positions 28 to 507 of the family's 1533-position model. The record is from RNAcentral.